Molecule: ribosomal RNA, 274 nt
Filed under: uncultured bacterium
Lineage: Bacteria
Description: partial 16S ribosomal RNA
Rfam family: Archaeal small subunit ribosomal RNA
Source: RNAcentral
AAACCAGCACCUCAAGUGGUCAGGAGGAUUAUUGGGCCUAAAGCAUCCGUAGCCUGCUUUGUAAGUUUCCGGUUAAAUCCAUUAGCUUAACUGAUGGGCCGCCGGAAAAACUGCAAAGCUAGGGAGUGGGAGAGGUAGACGGUACUCGGUAGGAAGGGGUAAAAUCCUUUGAUCUAUUGAUGACCACCAGUGGCGAAGGCGGUCUACCAGAACACGUUCGACGGUGAGGGAUGAAAGCUGGGGGAGCAAACCGGAUUAGAAACCCGAGUAGUCC